RNAcentral lists this ribosomal RNA (466 nucleotides) under uncultured bacterium. RNAcentral describes it as "partial 16S ribosomal RNA". It matches the Rfam family "Bacterial small subunit ribosomal RNA", at positions 28 to 507 of the family's 1533-position model. The record is from RNAcentral.
GACGAACGCUGGCGGCGUGCUUAACACAUGCCAGUCGAACGGAAAGGCCCUGCUUUCAGGGUACUCGAGUGGCGAACGGGUGAGUAACACGUGGGUGAUCUGCCCUGCACUUCUGGGUAAGCUUUGGAGACUGUGGCUAAUACCGCGGAGGAACCAUCUUGAGUGAUGGUGUUGGAAGGUUUUUUGGGUGUAGGAUGAGCUCGCGCGCUAUCAGCUUGUUGGUGGGGUAAUGGCGUACUAAGGCGGCGUCGGGUAGGCGGCCUGAGAGGGGGUACGGCCACACUGGGAGUGAGAGACGGGGCAGAGACCCACGCGGGGGAGAGGUGGGGAAUAUUGUACAAUGGGGGCGAGCGUGAGGCGGAGAAGCCGCGCGGGGGAUGUAGGGGUCUGGGUUGUAAAAUCCGUUCGCUAGGGAGGCAGCGUUGUUGUGACGGUAACUAGAUAAGAAGCACCGGCUAACUACGUG